CCUACGGGAGGCAGCAGUGGGGAAUAUUGCACAAUGGGCGCAAGCCUGAUGCAGCGACGCCGCGUGAGGGAUGACGGCCUUCGGGUUGUAAACCUCUGUUAGCAUCGAAGAAGCGAAAGUGACGGUAGGUGCAGAGAAAGCGCCGGCUAACUACGUGCCAGCAGCCGCGGUAAUACGUAGGGCGCGAGCGUUGUCCGGAAUUAUUGGGCGUAAAGAGCUUGUAGGCGGUUGGUCGCGUCUGCUGUGAAAGGCCGGGGCUUAACUCCGGUUUUGCAGUGGGUACGGGCUAACUAGAGUGCAGUAGGGGAGACUGGAAUUCCUGGUGUAGCGGUGAAAUGCACAGAUAUCAGGAGGAACACCGAUGGCGAAGGCAGGUCUCUGGGCUGUAACUGACGCUGAGAAGCGAAAGCAUGGGGAGCGAACAGGAUUAGAUACCCCGGUAGUC
RNAcentral lists this ribosomal RNA (445 nucleotides) under uncultured Rothia sp. RNAcentral's name for it is "bacterial SSU rRNA". It matches the Rfam family "Bacterial small subunit ribosomal RNA", at positions 338 to 795 of the family's 1533-position model. Lineage: Bacteria; Bacillati; Actinomycetota; Actinomycetes; Micrococcales; Micrococcaceae. The record is from RNAcentral.